Long non-coding RNA from Sinocyclocheilus rhinocerous, 736 nucleotides. RefSeq lists it as uncharacterized. The record is from RefSeq and is a predicted model, not a curated record. Lineage: Eukaryota; Metazoa; Chordata; Actinopteri; Cypriniformes; Cyprinidae. The transcript is spliced from 6 exons.
AUUUUUCAUCAGUUAAAUCAUCAGUUGAAUCUGUACAGAUGUUCCAUGUUAUCAAUGAAGGUCUAUUGGAAGGUAAUCCAUUUUAUGUAUGGAACACACUGAAAUGAGAAUUGUAUCAUUGUAUUGUCUGUUCUGUUUUUGUGUCCAUACCAUGUGAACACUAUCCUGAGAUUCCAAGAUCGACAGAGUCCAGUCAAUCCAGCCUCAAAUUCAAACCAGUGAUCAUCUUUCACAAUCCUACAUCUCCCAUAAUUGCUCCUCUUUCUUGAGCUAAUAAGCUUCAUCCAGCCAAGUCAUAUUAUAAGCCAUCCAAACAAUAAUGGAUGCUUCCAAACAUCAUAGGAAGCAUCCACAAAGACUGCCUGCAUCCAUCCAGUUUUCUCCUAAUAUAUCACAAUUAAGUUAAUAGAACAACACAAAAAUGGUGAAGAUUUACUAAAACUAACAAAGGUUUAUGCAUCAAAACUCAACAACUACUGUCCACUACUCUCAAAAGAUUUCUGCAAUGAGCUACACUUCUAACUUCCUCCUUAUCCAUUAUAUGAUUCUCCGCUUCAAGAACUGUUUUUAUAAAGAAGCACACAACCGAUUAAAAAGGUUUAUGCAUCAAAACUCAAUAACUACUGUCCACUACUCUCAAAAUAUUUCUGCAAUGAGCUACAAUUCUAACUUCCUCCUUAUCCAUUAUAUGAUCCUCCGCUCCAUGAACUGUUUUUAUGAAGAAGCACAAAACUGA